Long non-coding RNA from Ictalurus punctatus (channel catfish), 1072 nucleotides. The record is from Ensembl. Lineage: Eukaryota; Metazoa; Chordata; Actinopteri; Siluriformes; Ictaluridae.
GUGCUACCCGACUUGGUUAUCAGCGUCUGUAAGAUCCACUGUCGGUCAGCCUUUAAAAUAGAUUAAUGUGUAUGACAUGAUCUUCUUUAAUUAAUAAAGAAAUGCACUUGUUGACAACUUGCUGUGGUAUAAGGGGAAUAAAACACUUCGGAAUGUGCAGUUCUACUUUAGGGUGGUAACGGUCACUCCACUUCAUUGAUCGUUGACUGUUUUCCUAUAACCGCAUGUUUAUUCCUUACAUAAAUUAAACACAAAGCAUGUAGGGGUUCUACAUGCAUGUAGUAUUUGUACAAUCAAUAACCUAUUAGAGUAAUACAUUGUGGUAUAUAAACUGAACUUUGUGUUUGUGUCUGCAGUGUCCAAAGCCCGUGGUGGUGGCAGUGCAAGGCGUGUGUGGGGGAGCAGGAGUGGAUCUAAUCACAGCCUGUGAUAUUCGUCUGUGCACACAGGAUGCCUGGUUUCAGGUGAAGUCGUGUGUUCCCUGAUAGUCAAUGAUUGCUGGAGCUCUGGAAAUAGCAGGUGAGAUUGCAGGCCGGAGUCCCGUCGCUGUCCAGGGAACCAAAGUCAACCUCCUCUACUCCUGAGACCACAGUGUGACUGAGAGCCUAGACUACAUGGCUACUUGGAACAUGAACAUGUUGCAGACACAGGAUCUUAUGAAGUCAGCGCAGACAGCCCUGGAAAAGAAGAGUCCGAAAGACGUGCCCUUCUCCAAGCUUUAAAGGAGAAGAUCCAGGGCUGUUGAAGCUGCGGUGGAACUGAGACUUCAUCAUCCACAUAUCUUUAAUUCUUCUUGCUAAGAGAACGAGAAACUCUGACACAAGAGUACAUCCUGACCAUUGGUACUGUGUACACAUCAACAUACACACACGUCUCCAUGCUGGACAUCUCAGGAGCUUUCACACACAGUGCUAGGAAUAUCCCGGGACAGAGAAACGCACCUCCUAAGUGAGCGAGUUUAGCGUCAACCGGUGAAAUUUGCUGUAGCGUGAACACUUCGCCUCUAAAUGAUCUUUCGAGGCAGCUUCUUCAUCACUACCUGCUCCGUUUGACUAAAAAAUGUAACGACUGG